This 405-nucleotide ribosomal RNA is filed under the name uncultured bacterium. Its description in RNAcentral is "bacterial SSU rRNA". It matches the Rfam family "Bacterial small subunit ribosomal RNA", at positions 355 to 775 of the family's 1533-position model. The record is from RNAcentral.
UGGGGAAUAUUGGGCAAUGGGGGAAACCCUGACCCAGCGACGCCGCGUGAGGGAAGACGGCCUUCGGGUUGUAAACCUCUUUUGUACGGGAAGAAGGAAGUGACGGUACUGUACGAAUAAGUCCCGGCUAACUACGUGCCAGCAGCCGCGGUAAUACGUAGGGGACGAGCGUUGUCCGGAAUUACUGGGCGUAAAGGGCGCGCAGGCUGUGCUGCAAGUCAGCUGUGAGAUGUCUGGGCUUAACCCGGGCAUGCGGUUGAGACUGCAGUGCUGGAGUGCUGUAGAGGCAAGUGGAAUUCCCAGUGUAGCGGUGAAAUGCGUAGAUAUUGGGAAGAACACCGGUGGCGAAGGCGACUUGCUGGGCAGCAACUGACGCUGAGGCGCGAAAGCCAGGAGAGCAAACGG